RNAcentral lists this ribosomal RNA (473 nucleotides) under uncultured bacterium. RNAcentral describes it as "SSU rRNA". It matches the Rfam family "Bacterial small subunit ribosomal RNA", at positions 26 to 518 of the family's 1533-position model. The record is from RNAcentral.
AGGACGAACGCUGGCGGCGUGCUUAACACAUGCAAGUCGAACGGAAAGGCCCUUUCGGGGGUACUCGAGUGGCGAACGGGUGAGUAACACGUGGGUGAUCUGCCCUGCACUUUGGGAUAAGCCUGGGAAACUGGGUCUAAUACCGAAUACACCUUGCUGGCUGCAUGGCCUGGUGGGGGAAAGCUUUUGCGGUGUGGGAUGGGCCCGCGGCCUAUCAGCUUGUUGGUGGGGUGAUGGCCUACCAAGGCGACGACGGGUAGCCGGCCUGAGAGGGUGUCCGGCCACACUGGGACUGAGAUACGGCCCAGACUCCUACGGGAGGCAGCAGUGGGGAAUAUUGGACAAUGGGGGCAACCCUGAUCCAGCAAUGCCGCGUGAGUGAUGAAGGCCUUAGGGUUGUAAAGCUCUUUCGCCCGCGACGAUGAUGACGGUAGCGGGAGAAGAAGCCCGGCUAACUUCGCGCCAGCAGCCGC